RNAcentral lists this ribosomal RNA (253 nucleotides) under uncultured bacterium. RNAcentral's name for it is "partial 16S ribosomal RNA". It matches the Rfam family "Bacterial small subunit ribosomal RNA", at positions 524 to 776 of the family's 1533-position model. The record is from RNAcentral.
UACAGAGGUCCCAAGCGUUGUUCGGAUUCAUUGGGCGUAAAGGGUGCGUAGGCGGCGCGGUAAGUCGGGUGUGAAAUCUCGGAGCUUAACUCCGAAACUGCAUUCGAUACUGCCGUGCUUGAGGACUGGAGAGGAGACUGGAAUUUACGGUGUAGCGGUGAAAUGCGUAGAUAUCGUAAGGAAGACCAGUGGCGAAGGCGGGUCUCUGGACAGUUCCUGACGCUGAGGCACGAAGUCCAGGGGAGCAAACGGG